UGGGGAAUUUUGGACAAUGGGCGAAAGCCUGAUCCAGCAAUGCCGCGUGUGUGAAGAAGGCCUUCGGGUUGUAAAGCACUUUUGUCCGGAAAGAAAUCCUUGGCUCUAAUACAGUCGGGGGGAUGACGGUACCGGAAGAAUAAGCACCGGCUAACUACGUGCCAGCAGCCGCGGUAAUACGUAGGGUGCAAGCGUUAAUCGGAAUUACUGGGCGUAAAGCGUGCGCAGGCGGUUUGCUAAGACCGAUGUGAAAUCCCCGGGCUCAACCUGGGGAACUGCAUUGGUGACUGGCAGGCUAGAGUAUGGCAGAGGGGGGUAGAAUUCCACGUGUAGCAGUGAAAUGCGUAGAGAUGUGGAGGAAUACCGAUGGCGAAGGCAGCCCCCUGGGCCAAUACUGACGCUCAUGCACGAAAGCGUGGGGGAGCAAACAGGAUUAGAUACCCUGGUAGUCCACGCCCUAAACGAUGUCAACUAGUUGUUGGGGAUUCAUUUCCUUAGUAACGUAGCUAACGCGUGAAGUUGACCGCCUGGGGAGUACGGUCGCAAGAUUAAAACUCAAAUGAAUUGACGGGGUCAUAGCUGUUUCCU
Molecule: ribosomal RNA, 588 nt
Filed under: uncultured bacterium
Lineage: Bacteria
Description: partial 16S ribosomal RNA
Rfam family: Bacterial small subunit ribosomal RNA
Source: RNAcentral